Molecule: long non-coding RNA, 1186 nt
Filed under: Marmota monax (woodchuck)
Lineage: Eukaryota; Metazoa; Chordata; Mammalia; Rodentia; Sciuridae
Source: RNAcentral
AAGAGCAGCAAAUAGUUUUUAUGAUGUAUAGUUCACACUAUUUCUAGUCUUAAACUGCAACCUUCAGUGAUUCAAGAAAUACAGGAACAUCUUUUCUUUGGGCAGAAGCCGUAAUCAAAUUGAUGAUUGCAUAAUUUUAAAAACAAAAAAUUAGACUUACUUUGUAAAAAAAUUUAACCCGACUAAUUCUUUGUCUACUUUCUCUUUGGUAUUUCUUGCAUUUUUUUCAAAUAUCUUCAUUACAAAAUCAUAAGUAGUUUCCAUUCAGAGUACUUCAUAACUCAGGUUGGCACACAGAGUAAGGCUGUUUUCAUACUGAAGACCUUCAAAUAAAGAUUACCUAUAAGGAGCAUAUCACUUUGUUAACUGUCAUUCCCAGACAGUCUUAAUGCAUCAGCCCUAAUAUAUAUACAUAUAUGUAGAUAGAUAGAUAGAUAUAGAUAUAGAUAUAUGUAGAUAUAUACAUAUGUACAUGUAUUAUAUAUUUUAUAUUAUACAUAUAUACACAUAUAUGCACAUAUCAACAAGUAAUAUAGAUACAUAAAAUAAGUAUAAUUACUAUUAAAAUGUUUUUCAGAGAGAAAAUUAUUAAUCAAUUUUUAAUUGAUUUAGGCUUCCUACAUUGUUUAUUCAAUAACUGAAUACUGGGGUCCAUCCCUAAUAUCAAAAUCUUAUAUAAAUACAAUGUAUAUGUAUACACACAUAUCCAUACAUAUUUUCUUUUGGAUGGACAUAUCCCAUUUGUUUAUCGGUAUACCAUUUGAUAGACAGAAGCUUAAUUGCUUUACAAGCAAAGGAAAAACCCAGGGGAUUCUUGUCCCAGAGGCUGUGAUUCUGCACAUCAGGGGCAACAGAGGGUUUUUAAAGAUGUGAUUUCAGGUGUGUCCAGUCCUACUUCACUUGUUAAUCUGGGAUAUAAUCAAUUUUAAAUCUUCUGGUGCCAUCCCCAACUCUGAAUUUCUUCACUCCUGUGGUGGGUGUGUGCUCAAGGACAGAUAACUGAAUGGGGACAAAAAGUAAUCCUGUUUCCCCCCAGGUUAGGGACAGGGAAAGGGGGAUUUAAAAAAAAAAAAAAACAUCAAUCUUAAAAUAAGCCUCAGUGGCAGAGCAUCAUGCUGGGGUUUUUCAGGUUAAUUUUUUCAAUUUAAUUUAUACUUAACUGAACAUUAGUUGUUCAUGGUGGGUG